CAGCAGCAGCCGCGGUAAUACGGAGGAUCCAAGCGUUAUCCGGAAUCAUUGGGUUUAAAGGGUCCGUAGGCGGUCUUGUAAGUCAGUGGUGAAAGCCCAUCGCUCAACGGUGGAACGGCCAUUGAUACUGCAGGACUUGAAUUAUUGGGAAGUAACUAGAAUAUGUAGUGUAGCGGUGAAAUGCUUAGAGAUUACAUGGAAUACCAAUUGCGAAGGCAGGUUACUACCAAUUGAUUGACGCUGAUGGACGAAAGCGUGGGUAGCGAACAGGAUUAGAUACCCCAGUAGUCCCUGUCUCUUAUAC
This 304-nucleotide ribosomal RNA is filed under the name uncultured bacterium. RNAcentral describes it as "partial 16S ribosomal RNA". It matches the Rfam family "Bacterial small subunit ribosomal RNA", at positions 506 to 807 of the family's 1533-position model. The record is from RNAcentral.